This is a long non-coding RNA of Anopheles darlingi, 1169 nucleotides long. RefSeq lists it as uncharacterized. NCBI's taxonomy places the organism in Eukaryota, Metazoa, Arthropoda, Insecta, Diptera, Culicidae. The transcript is spliced from 3 exons. The record is from RefSeq and is a predicted model, not a curated record.
AUGUAACCAUCAUUGCUCCCAAAUCGCUACACGCGCAACAAAUUUGCACGCGAUAUUCGUGAAAUGUAAAUCCUAUUCUGGCUCCUCCCAGCAGGCAACGGUAAACACAGCAUCCCAGGAGACGAAAAUUCUCGAUCGCUGGCAAAUUGAAUUUACCGUCCCAGGCAAACACGCUCCAUGUGAUGUUUUCCAUGUGCGUUCUUCCGUUUGUUUAAGGACAAUUUUCACACUGCGAGUCCGCGCAUUGCCAGCCAACAAAGUCUCUUUGUAACCAAAUCUUUGCUGCAUAGAAUCGGAAUAUACGAUGGCAGUUAGAGCAGACAACACGAAGAGACAAGUAGGACAAAUCCCAACUGCAUUCAAAGACCAUUCUUCAUCCCGAAAUGCACACCACGGAAGGCAGAGCAUUCUUUGACCACGACCACCACGGGGGAUUUCAAUAUUCGUAUAAGUUACGACGCCCGGAUAACGGAAAAGGCCAGAGAGUCCAGAGUCCUUCCGGGACGGAACCGUGCCUUAAUACAAUUUAUCCGCCAUCCUCCGAUCCCAUUAGCCACCCUGGAACGACAAUCACGAGCGCCAAAGCACGAUUGCCCCCGCAACUAAUGGAUCACCAUGUCAAGGUCACGUUUAUUUGGCGGGUGUGAGCAAACGUUUUAUAGUGUUUCCAACAAACACCCCAAAAACACAGUGGAUCUACUAAUGCUACGUGGCUGCGGAUCGGAAGUGAGCGAUUAACGGACCAACGAUGCGCUGCACCCGACGUGUACUAAUCGGUCUAAUCUCCUCGCCAACUGUGGGUGGCUGAUUUGGGGAAGGUUCAAAGGGUUUACGGGAAUCCCUGGAAGAACCUGGAAAGGCCCCGGAAGUAACACUCACACACACGUGUUAGACGAUGCGGAUAAAAUAACAAAUAUCUGGGGGUCCCGGGGCAGUUUUGUCUUUCAGUUUUCCUUUUUGGCAACCUUUUCCAAAAGCGGUUGCCCAGUUGCGCACGGCACACACCAGGAGUUCGGGAUGUUCUCGUAAAUAAAUUGCUAUUUCUCUUGCUACGGUAUUGCUGGCGUCAGCAGCAGUGUAUUGCAGAGCGUGUUAAAGGAUAUCACGCGCGUCACCGUCCGUGGCGGCCGACUCCGUAUACACACAAAGUCCCCAUGGGCCCUCGUCUC